RNAcentral lists this long non-coding RNA (362 nucleotides) under Vitis vinifera (wine grape). RNAcentral describes it as "long non-coding RNA (VVIN_LNC001811)". The record is from RNAcentral. Lineage: Eukaryota; Viridiplantae; Streptophyta; Magnoliopsida; Vitales; Vitaceae.
UCCAAUGUGUAACCAUACACACUAGUGCACUCACCAUGGGAAACCCAUCCUGAUAACCAAGACCAGCCAUCUCUCCAAUUAGGAGGUGGUGCACUACAACCUCUAAUGGGUUGCCUAGACCCAUUAACCGGUUGUGAACAAGUUAUCUGAUUGCAAGGAACCCAUGACUUAGAUCUUCUACGCAACUCCUAAUGCACCUAAAUCACGUACAAUGUAAAAGAUGUAGGUAAUAAUGCUCAUAAAGUAUAAUACAUGGAAUAAGGAUAAAUAAAAGUGAAACUUGAACAUCAUUAAAUAAAUAAUGAAUUCCAAAUUUAUACAUCAUGUCAUUUUUUUAAAGGCUUUAUCCUAACAAUCUUCUA